This is a non-coding RNA of Pelobates cultripes (western spadefoot toad), 869 nucleotides long. The record is from the annotation of a GenBank genome assembly. Lineage: Eukaryota; Metazoa; Chordata; Amphibia; Anura; Pelobatidae.
CUUAGGAUAUAAUCACUAAGGGUGAAAGGGAGUCCUUGGCGGUGACACUUGGGUUUACUGCAAGUAGGCCUCCACAAUUAUUAUCAUCAUUUAUAGAUUCUAUAGAACCUUAAAAAUUUAUAAAGGGGGAAAUUUAACAGUUAAUGAGGCAUUUACAAAAUGUUACAGGAUCAACAGGUUGACGAGCACACUUCUCGAAAGUGCUUUGUGAACGAAGUUCCCGAACGUUGAAGGCCAGCAUCCGGCCCCCAUACUGUAGGCCUAGUCCCAAGAGCCCCUAGAACGAGACUAUUGUUACUGUGGGGGCUUCCCAUAAUUGAGGACCUUUGGGGAAUGCCUGGACUCAUUUUUACACAUUGAGCGCUUGACCAGGAGAUACCCUGAAACACUCUGGAACUGUUCCUUAUAUCAGCUGUGUACGAGGACCGGUCAAUAUUUAAGUGGGUAUCGCUCAGUAUCCUGACCUCUAAAUAGAGCACUAUUUGGAGGGGAGGUUGGGGGACACCAUUGGAUACCCAGAACAUGAGAGUACUCCGACUAAGCCCUUUUUGGAUACCUGGACUAAGCCGGCUCAACGGAUUGAAGAAUAGGCAUGACCUGGUAAAACUACUAACACGCUGGGGAGCAGAUUCACUGAUCAAGGCACUACUUGGACAGCGAGGGUACUCAGUGACUAGCUUUCCGGAGAUUUAUAUUGUGUGAGGGUACGGUCCAGGAAAAGGGGCUUUUGAUGGAGAUUUUGUAUGAUGUGCCUCUAGGACUGUAAAGAGCUGAUUGUGUUAGCUGGGGAUAAUGUUAUUAAAUUACCAGACAGAGUGGUCCUGGGGAGGGACAAUUGUACUGUGCAUUGCUUUGUAUGGAGGACCCCC